GAUGAAGAACGCAGCGAAAUGCGAUAAGUAAUGUGAAUUGCAGAAUUCAGUGAAUCAUCGAAUCUUUGAACGCACAUUGCGCCCGCCAGUAUUCUGGCGGGCAUGCCUGUUCGAGCGUCAUUUCAACCAUCAAGCCCCCGGCUUGUGUUGGGGACCUGCGGCUGCCGCAGGCCCUGAAAACCAGUGGCGGGCUCGCUAGUCACUCCGAGCGUAGUAAUACAUCUCGCUCAGGGCGUGCUGCGGGUUCCGGCCGUUAAAAAGCCUUAUUUACCCAAGGUUGACCUCGGGUCAGGUAGGAAGACCCGCUGAACUUAAGCAUAUCAAUAAGCGGAGGA
Molecule: unclassified non-coding RNA, 335 nt
Filed under: soil metagenome
Description: partial contains 5.8S ribosomal RNA, internal transcribed spacer 2, and large subunit ribosomal RNA
Rfam family: 5.8S ribosomal RNA (bases 1-120)
Source: RNAcentral